UUUUUAUUUAUUUAUUUAUUCUUAAUGUACACCAAAAUACAGACACAUAUAAAGAAAGAUACAAUACAAGAUGAAAAAAUCAAUAAUAAAUAGAUAAAAACUACGAUAUGAUAGACUUACACGAUUAUUAAAGAAAAAAAAAAAAAAACCAUAUAAAUAAGUAAAUAUUUUAGUGUAUACUAUAUAAUAUACAUAUACACACACAUAAACAUACAUACACACAUACAUACAUACACAUAUAAAAAUAUAUACAUAUAAACACACACACAUAAAUAUAUACAUAUAUGUACACUUAAAGUAAACUACAAAUCGCGACAGUUAAUACUUAAUGAGCUACAUAUAAUGCUUUUUAAGGCGUUGCUUGAAGCAAGCUUGUGUUGGAGCUUGUUUUAUUGAAAGCGGAAGAGAGUUCCACAGACGGGCAGCAUUAACAGUAAAUGAAUUGGAGUAGAAGGAGGUAGAAUGGGGAGGAAUUUUCAUCAGAAGCAAAUUGGAUUCAGAUCUAAGGGACCGCUCAUGGGAAUCGCAAAGAAACGUAAACCGUUCUUUAAGGUAAUGAGGGGCAUUAGGAUUAAAAAGAACACAGUAGAGUAGAGUAAGUAUAUGUGUAUUCCUGCGAAGGCGGAUUGGGAGCCACUUGAGUUUACUGCGAAAAUCGGAGACGUGGUCAUAUUUGCGAAGACCAAAUAUGAACCUUAUACAGAGAUUUUGAAGGCGCUCAAGCUUAUUUAGUUGCUCCUCUUUGAGAUCCAGAAAACACGUAUCUGCAUAGUCAAGGAUUGGUAAAAGUAGUGAUUGUGCCAGCGCAAUUUUGGUAGGCAAGGGAAGAAAGUACUGGAGUCGACGGAGUGAACCGACGGCUGCAAACAAUUUCCGGCUUAGCUCAGUUAAUUGAGGUGACCAAGAGAGAUGACGAUCGAAAGUUAUUCCUAGAUUUUUCACUUUAUCACUGACGUUCAAAACAACUUU
This 969-nucleotide unclassified non-coding RNA is filed under the name Melitaea cinxia (Glanville fritillary). Its description in RNAcentral is "misc RNA ENSMCXG00005016881.1". Lineage: Eukaryota; Metazoa; Arthropoda; Insecta; Lepidoptera; Nymphalidae. The record is from RNAcentral.